This 253-nucleotide ribosomal RNA is filed under the name uncultured bacterium. Its description in RNAcentral is "partial 16S ribosomal RNA". It matches the Rfam family "Bacterial small subunit ribosomal RNA", at positions 524 to 776 of the family's 1533-position model. The record is from RNAcentral.
UACGGAGGAUGCAAGCGUUAUCCGGAUUUAUUGGGCGUAAAGCGUCCGCAGGUGGUUGUUCAAGUCUGCUGUUAAAGCGCGAGGCUUAACCUUGUACAGGCGGUGGAAACUGAGCGACUAGAGUAUGGUAGGGGUAGCGGGAAUUCCCAGUGUAGCGGUGAAAUGCGUAGAUAUUGGGAAGAACACCAGCGGCGAAAGCGCGCUACUGGGCCAUUACUGACACUCAUGGACGAAAGCUAGGGGAGCGAAAGGG